Long non-coding RNA from Syngnathoides biaculeatus (alligator pipefish), 1122 nucleotides. RefSeq lists it as uncharacterized. The record is from RefSeq and is a predicted model, not a curated record. NCBI's taxonomy places the organism in Eukaryota, Metazoa, Chordata, Actinopteri, Syngnathiformes, Syngnathidae. The transcript has 3 exons.
CACAUCACUCAGCACAUCUGCGCAUCGAAUGAGAUCCUACAAGUCUUUCAAAAAGCUAGUUGUAAUAUUGUGACUCACUCAUGCGGCGGAAUAUGACCAAUAUUUAUUCAAGUGAUCAACGACUCUACCUGAUCUAAUUAACAAAGGCUUUUGCAGCUCCAGUGUGAUGAGCUCCAUUUUCUACCCUCCUCCUCCUCCCCCUGAAGCACAAUGGGGAGACGUAUUGAUCGUAACCUGACGUGACAGCGCUAUUGAUCGGCAAGCCUGAGAUGAACAGUGAGAGACAGGCAGCGAGCCGUCACUUGCUGGUGACAUCGGGGGUCAAAAAGGGAAACUGGGAAUUCCCUGCUCUCAAUCCCCCGCAAGUACAAGCCUAGCUGCAUCCCAUUGGGCUGCUCGGGAGGGAAAACAGACUUAAGUGAGUUCAACAUGAAUAGUGGUUUUACCUUUUUUAAAACCCAAACUCACUCAAAACCAGAUUAAAAAACAAGAACCCCUGCUCCCUGUUCCAAAGCCUGUUUUAAAACCAUAACUUGAAAAGUAAUAGUUUAAAUAUCCUCCCAAUGAAAUUGCGCGAGGCAUUCACGCUCGAGGAAAAUGAAAUUGAAGUUGGACGGAGCGCGACCACGACAGCCGGCAUCCUCAAAACACGACUCUCACGGACUUUGGCCCGAGUUUAUCUCCCUGGUCCAGUACAUUCACCUUAAUCGUCCACUUCACUCAUAAACCAACAGAAGGUCCACAUGGUCACAGACCCAUGAUGAGCAAUACAUUUUUUAAAAAAGUCAUCAGUCGGUCAAUCUUUCUCACUUUUCAUUUGUUCAAAAUUGAUUUUGUAGUCAGCAUAAACACCCUGAAUAAACAUUGCAUUUCCAUGGGUAAUUUAGUGUGUGUGUGUGUGUGUGUGUGUGUGUGUGAAAAAGAACAACAACAAAAAAACAUGAAAUCACUUGAAAGGCCACUGAUGCUGAUGUUUGUUUCUCCAACAAAUCUUCAUGAGUCAGUGUGACCUGCUGCAUGUUUUAUUGUCAAUUUAUUUUUUCAAUCAUUUAUGUCUUAUCUACCUACUUAUAUAAAGUUUUUUUGCAUUUUUUUCCCCUGAUUUUUGUCUUUUAAAACAUG